CUGAAUAUGGUGGUGCUUGCAAUAGAGCUUCCCUUCGUGUGCGAUGUAAUUUGAGGGGCUAAUGGUGCAUCCUCCAUGACAGCACUUGAAGCAGCUUUUGUGAUACAUGGUGUUAUUGACAGUAACCUGCAGAUCUACAGCUGGUCAAGUAAAGGAAACUCCCAAAAAAUAAAUGAGAGAGUUGAUUAGAGUACAAAAUAGUACCCUUUCAAUUGGAUAGACUGUCUUGUUGCAUCCCACGCAUUUCUCUCUCGUGCCAGCAAAUGCGCUCGAGACUUUAAUAGCAUUCUGCCAAAAAUACAAUCAUGAUAAGCAACACCCAAUGUGGUAGUUGAUGACAAAGAAGGAGAUGAACGAUGCCAAAUACAUUAUAUGAAAC
RNAcentral lists this small RNA (379 nucleotides) under Oryza sativa Japonica Group (Japanese rice). RNAcentral describes it as "sRNA Os12g0510766". Lineage: Eukaryota; Viridiplantae; Streptophyta; Magnoliopsida; Poales; Poaceae. The record is from RNAcentral.